AAGAUUGUGAUGAAGCAAAGUAUAUAAUCCAACACUUGAUCUGAGAUAUUCGAGUGAUGUAAACCUUCUUUUUUGCUUCUGAAUCUAC
Molecule: non-coding RNA, 88 nt
Organism: Glycine max (soybean)
Lineage: Eukaryota; Viridiplantae; Streptophyta; Magnoliopsida; Fabales; Fabaceae
Source: Rfam